GCCUCGAUAGCGCAAUAGGCAGCGCGCGAGUCUCAUAAUCUCGACGUCGUGAGUUCGAACCUCACCCGGGGCA
This 73-nucleotide transfer RNA is filed under the name Daphnia pulicaria. RNAcentral describes it as "tRNA-Met". It matches the Rfam family "tRNA". From Rfam's summary of the family: Transfer RNA (tRNA) molecules are approximately 80 nucleotides in length. Their secondary structure includes four short double-helical elements and three loops (D, anti-codon, and T loops). The record is from RNAcentral. Lineage: Eukaryota; Metazoa; Arthropoda; Branchiopoda; Diplostraca; Daphniidae.